Molecule: non-coding RNA, 45 nt
Filed under: Schistosoma margrebowiei
Lineage: Eukaryota; Metazoa; Platyhelminthes; Trematoda; Strigeidida; Schistosomatidae
Source: RNAcentral
AUCCAGCUGCUGAGUUGCAAACAAAAUGAAACGCGCGUCUUUGAU